AUUGAACGCUGGCGGCAUGCCUUACACAUGCAAGUCGAACGGUAACAGGUCUUCGGAUGCUGACGAGUGGCGAACGGGUGAGUAAUACAUCGGAACGUGCCUAGUAGUGGGGGAUAACUACUCGAAAGAGUGGCUAAUACCGCAUGAGAUCUACGGAUGAAAGCAGGGGAUCGCAAGACCUUGUGCUACUAGAGCGGCCGAUGGCAGAUUAGGUAGUUGGUGGGAUAAAAGCUUACCAAGCCGACGAUCUGUAGCUGGUCUGAGAGGACGAUCAGCCACACUGGGACGGAGACACGGCCCAGAAUCCUACGGGAGGCAGCAGUGGGGAAUUUUGGACAAUGGGCGAAAGCCUGAUCCAGCAAUGCCGCGUGCAGGAUGAAGGCCUUCGGGUUGUAAACUGCUUUUGUACGGAACGAAAAGCCCCGGGUUAAUACCCUGGGGUCAUGACGGUACCGUAAGAAUAAGCACCGGCUAACUACGUGCCAGCCGCCGCAGUAA
RNAcentral lists this ribosomal RNA (498 nucleotides) under uncultured bacterium. Its description in RNAcentral is "partial 16S ribosomal RNA". It matches the Rfam family "Bacterial small subunit ribosomal RNA", at positions 30 to 523 of the family's 1533-position model. The record is from RNAcentral.